RNAcentral lists this ribosomal RNA (410 nucleotides) under Escherichia coli. RNAcentral's name for it is "bacterial SSU rRNA". It matches the Rfam family "Bacterial small subunit ribosomal RNA", at positions 1 to 407 of the family's 1533-position model. The record is from RNAcentral. Lineage: Bacteria; Pseudomonadati; Pseudomonadota; Gammaproteobacteria; Enterobacterales; Enterobacteriaceae.
AAAUUGAAGAGUUUGAUCAUGGCUCAGAUUGAACGCUGGCGGCAGGCCUAACACAUGCAAGUCGAACGGUAACAGGAAGAAGCUUGCUUCUUUGCUGACGAGUGGCGGACGGGUGAGUAAUGUCUGGGAAACUGCCUGAUGGAGGGGGAUAACUACUGGAAACGGUAGCUAAUACCGCAUAACGUCGCAAGACCAAAGAGGGGGACCUUCGGGCCUCUUGCCAUCGGAUGUGCCCAGAUGGGAUUAGCUAGUAGGUGGGGUAACGGCUCACCUAGGCGACGAUCCCUAGCUGGUCUGAGAGGAUGACCAGCCACACUGGAACUGAGACACGGUCCAGACUCCUACGGGAGGCAGCAGUGGGGAAUAUUGCACAAUGGGCGCAAGCCUGAUGCAGCCAUGCCGCGUGUAUG